This 326-nucleotide unclassified non-coding RNA is filed under the name Bursera confusa. RNAcentral describes it as "partial miscellaneous RNA". Lineage: Eukaryota; Viridiplantae; Streptophyta; Magnoliopsida; Sapindales; Burseraceae. The record is from RNAcentral.
CCUUCGCGACGCCGACGCCCGCGUGAGACCCGACCGACGGUACGGCCGCGUGCUCAAGACGGGUUCGACGGUCGUUCGUGUCGAGGGACAAAUGCGUUGCUCGGGCCGACGGAGCCAAAAGACCCCACGCCCGCGCGUAACGUUCCGCAUCCGAGAGCACGGGCAGUGCGCCCCGUGGGCCUGGGCAGCCACGCAACUGGGCGAGGCGUGCCGGGAACACGAGGCUUGCCUGACGUCCACCCCACAACCCGCGAGGGCGUUGGGCGGAAAGGGACCAACGAAACCGUCGGAUUCCUUUCGAUAGGUAAGCAACACAGGAUACCGAA